UAGAGUUUGAUCCUGGCUCAGAUUGAACGCUGGCGGCAGGCCUAACACAUGCAAGUCGAGCGGUAGCACAGAGAGCUUGCUCUCGGGUGACGAGCGGCGGACGGGUGAGUAAUGUCUGGGAAACUGCCUGAUGGAGGGGGAUAACUACUGGAAACGGUAGCUAAUACCGCAUAACGUCGCAAGACCAAAGUGGGGGACCUUCGGGCCUCAUGCCAUCAGAUGUGCCCAGAUGGGAUUAGCUAGUAGGUGGGGUAACGGCUCACCUAGGCGACGAUCCCUAGCUGGUCUGAGAGGAUGACCAGCCACACUGGAACUGAGACACGGUCCAGACUCCUACGGGAGGCAGCAGUGGGGAAUAUUGCACAAUGGGCGCAAGCCUGAUGCAGCCAUGCCGCGUGUAUGAAGAAGGCCUUCGGGUUGUAAAGUACUUUCAGCGGGGAGGAAGGUGUUGAGGUUAAUAACCUCAGCAAUUGACGUUACCCGCAGAAGAAGCACCGGCUAACUCCGUGCCAGCAGCCGCGGUAAUACGGAGGGUGCAAGCGUUAAUCGGAAUUACUGGGCGUAAAGCGCACGCAGGCGGUCUGUCAAGUCGGAUGUGAAAUCCCCGGGCUCAACCUGGGAACUGCAUUCGAAACUGGCAGGCUAGAGUCUUGUAGAGGGGGGUAGAAUUCCAGGUGUAGCGGUGAAAUGCGUAGAGAUCUGGAGGAAUACCGGUGGCGAAGGCGGCCCCCUGGACAAAGACUGACGCUCAGGUGCGAAAGCGUGGGGAGCAAACAGGAUUAGAUACCCUGGUAGUCCACGCCGUAAACGAUGUCGACUUGGAGGUUGUGCCCUUGAGGCGUGGCUUCCGGAGCUAACGCGUUAAGUCGACCGCCUGGAGAGUACGGCCGCAAGGUUAAAACUCAAAUGAAUUGACGGGGGCCCGCACAAGCGGUGGAGCAUGUGGUUUAAUUCGAUGCAACGCGAAGAACCUUACCUACUCUUGACAUCCAGAGAACUUUCCAGAGAUGGAUUGGUGCUUUCGGGAACUCUGAGACAGGUGCUGCAUGGCUGUCGUCAGCUCGUGUUGUGAAAUGUUGGGUUAAGUCCCGCAACGAGCGCAACCCUUAUCCUUUGUUGCCAGCGGUUCGGCCGGGAACUCAAAGGAGACUGCCAGUGAUAAACUGGAGGAAGGUGGGGAUGACGUCAAGUCAUCAUGGCCCUUACGAGUAGGGCUACACACGUGCUACAAUGGCGCAUACAAAGAGAAGCGACCUCGCGAGAGCAAGCGGACCUCAUAAAGUGCGUCGUAGUCCGGAUUGGAGUCUGCAACUCGACUCCAUGAAGUCGGAAUCGCUAGUAAUCGUAGAUCAGAAUGCUACGGUGAAUACGUUCCCGGGCCUUGUACACACCGCCCGUCACACCAUGGGAGUGGGUUGCAAAAGAAGUAGGUAGCUUAACCUUCGGGAGGGCGCUUACCACUUUGUGAUUCAUGACUGGGGUGAAGUCGUAACAAGGUAGCCGUA
RNAcentral lists this ribosomal RNA (1505 nucleotides) under Enterobacter sp. B4(2013). RNAcentral's name for it is "bacterial SSU rRNA". It matches the Rfam family "Bacterial small subunit ribosomal RNA". The record is from RNAcentral. Lineage: Bacteria; Pseudomonadati; Pseudomonadota; Gammaproteobacteria; Enterobacterales; Enterobacteriaceae.